Non-coding RNA from Podarcis lilfordi (Lilford's wall lizard), 73 nucleotides. Lineage: Eukaryota; Metazoa; Chordata; Lepidosauria; Squamata; Lacertidae. The record is from the annotation of a GenBank genome assembly.
AAAGGCCGUAGCUCAUUGACAGAGCAUCUGCAUUUCAUGCUGAGGGUCCCAGGUUCAAACCCUGACAUCUUUA